UAUGACGAAGCUUCGUCGCAGGCUUAACACAUGCAAGUCGAGCGCCCCGCAAGGGGAGCGGCAGACGGGUGAGUAACGCGUGGGAAUCUACCUAUCUCUACGGAACAACUCCGGGAAACUGGAGCUAAUACCGUAUACGUCCUUCGGGAGAAAGAUUUAUCGGAGAUGGAUGAGCCCGCGUUGGAUUAGCUAGUUGGUGGGGUAAUGGCCUACCAAGGCGACGAUCCAUAGCUGGUCUGAGAGGAUGAUCAGCCACACUGGGACUGAGACACGGCCCAGACUCCUACGGGAGGCAGCAGUGGGGAAUAUUGGACAAUGGGCGAAAGCCUGAUCCAGCCAUGCCGCGUGAGUGAUGAAGGCCCUAGGGUUGUAAAGCUCUUUCACCGGUGAAGAUAAUGACGGUAACCGGAGAAGAAGCCCCGGCUAACUUCGUGCCAGCAGCCGCGGUAAUACGAAGGGGGCUAGCGUUGUUCGGAAUUACUGGGCGUAAAGCGCACGUAGGCGGAAUGUUUAGUCAGGGGUGAAAUCCCGGGGCUCAACCCCGGAACUGCCUUUGAUACUGGCAUUCUCGAGUCCGGAAGAGG
RNAcentral lists this ribosomal RNA (584 nucleotides) under Rhizobiales bacterium E129. RNAcentral describes it as "bacterial SSU rRNA". It matches the Rfam family "Bacterial small subunit ribosomal RNA", at positions 25 to 657 of the family's 1533-position model. The record is from RNAcentral. Lineage: Bacteria; Pseudomonadati; Pseudomonadota; Alphaproteobacteria; Hyphomicrobiales.